Molecule: ribosomal RNA, 468 nt
Filed under: uncultured bacterium
Lineage: Bacteria
Description: partial 16S ribosomal RNA
Rfam family: Bacterial small subunit ribosomal RNA
Source: RNAcentral
GACGAACGCUGGCGGCGUGCUUAACACAUGCAAGUCGAACGGAAAGGCCCUGCUUUUGUGGGGUGCUCGAGUGGCGAACGGGUGAGUAACACGUGAGUAACCUGCCAUUGACUUAGGGAUAACUUCAGGAAACUGGGGCUAAUAACGGAUAGGAGCUCCUGCUGCAUGGUGGGGGGUGGAAAGUUUCGGCGGUUGGGGAUGGACUCGCGGCUUAGCAGCUUGGUGGUGGGGUAGUGGCUUACCAAGGCUGUGACGGGUAGGCGGCCUGAGAGGGUGACCGGCCACAUUGGGACUGAGAUACGGCCCAUACUCCUACGGGAGGCAGCAGUGGGGAAUAUUGCGCAAUGGGCGGAAGCCUGAUACAGCAACGCCGCGUGCGGGAUGACGGCCUUCGGGUUGUAAACCGCUUUCGCCUGUGACGAAGCGUGAGUGACGGUAAUAAGUAAAGAAGCACCGGCUAACUACGUG